This 253-nucleotide ribosomal RNA is filed under the name uncultured bacterium. RNAcentral's name for it is "partial 16S ribosomal RNA". It matches the Rfam family "Bacterial small subunit ribosomal RNA", at positions 524 to 776 of the family's 1533-position model. The record is from RNAcentral.
UACAGAGGUCCCCAGCGUUGUUCGGAUUCCCUGGGCGUACAGGGUGCGUAGGUGGUGCGGUAAGUCGGAUGUGAAAGCUCGGAGCUCAACUCCGAAAUGGCAUUGGAAACUACCUUGCUCGAGGGUUGGAGGGGGGACUGGAAUACUUGGUGUAGCAGUGAAAUGCGUAGAUAUCAAGUGGAACACCAGUGGCGAAGGCGAGUCCCUGGACAACUCCUGACACUGAGGCACGAAAGCUAGGGGAGCAAACAGG